CUAAAAUUCCCUGAACCCCUUUCUUCCCGCGCCUUUCUCUUCCGUAUUAUUCUCAAAUUUCUCGGUUCUUCGCCGUUUUCUCUCUCAAGAAAAUGGUUUCACAGUUCGGCAUCAAAUUGGCCGUCCACCUCAUCACCAAGCACUUCGGCAAUCUUGUCGCUAAAGUAUGCGAAAAUCUAUUUAGUCAUGGAGCCCUCACUUUGGAUCAAUUGGUUCGCUACUCGGAGCUUACUAAGGACCAAGUUAAGAACUCCCUACUCGUCUUAGUUCAACACAAUUGUUGCCAAGCAUUUGUUUCUGCUCCUAAAGAUGACGGUAUCAUAGCACUAUUUUUUUGUUUAAUUCCUUUCUUGUAUUCUUUUUUUGCUUUUCUUUUUCUUUUUAAUUAUCGUUGUCUACUUGCAAUAAACAUGUUGGAGUAAAAUAAUUUUUAUAAAACGGACUUCCUAGAUGUAGUGGUAAUGUUUGCAACGAAUACUUCUCCAUUAGGGCGUGAUUGGCUAAUUAUAAUGUUCUGAAUUAUUAUGAAUGCAGAUGAUGAUGUAGACAGAUUGAGAGUUAGGACUCAGUAAUUGGUGUUGUUUGAUAACAUAAUCCACCGAUUGAGAUUUUCCAAAUUCUUGGAGACUGUGUCUCGGAAGCUUGAUGAAGAAUGUGUGGAACUUCUUGAUGGUUUGCUUCGUGAUGGUAGGCUUACCCUGAAACAAAUGGUUGACAGAGCAAGUCAAGGGAAAGGCAAGUGUUUUAUGAUGCACUUGAUAGGUCGAGUGCUGUUUUGCUUAUAUUUGUUGAUUUAAUUAUAACAAAAGGUAUUUUUUUAAACAAAUCCGCACAUGUUUUCUUUUAAAAUUUGUGUAACCUAACGACUGAAUCAUAUGUGGUUUAGUCAUAAUUCCUUUUUGUGAAUCAGAUGAGGGCACUGCAGAUAAUUUUUAAAACUAUGAAAACAAAAGGUAUGUUUGGAGUGGAUCAAGGUACAUGUACUAGCAUUGUGGUCUGAUUUGGGUUGGGUUAUAAGUGUGGUACAUUUUACACAACUUACUAAAUUUGUUGUACAUGAAGAGAAGGCUUAAUUGGGUUAAAGUUAGAGGUAAUGAUACACAAAGAACUAUACGUGUCUUUCUAAAUUAUGUUAAAGAGUGAUAUAUUAUUAGGCCUAUAAUUGAGCAGGAUAUUCAUUUUAAUCAAACACAUAAUUGAC
Molecule: non-coding RNA, 1201 nt
Organism: Vigna umbellata (rice bean)
Lineage: Eukaryota; Viridiplantae; Streptophyta; Magnoliopsida; Fabales; Fabaceae
Source: RefSeq, a predicted model, not a curated record